RNAcentral lists this ribosomal RNA (456 nucleotides) under uncultured bacterium. RNAcentral's name for it is "bacterial SSU rRNA". It matches the Rfam family "Bacterial small subunit ribosomal RNA", at positions 340 to 786 of the family's 1533-position model. The record is from RNAcentral.
UACGGAAGGCAGCAGGGGGAAUAUUGCACAAUGGGCGAAAGCCUGAUGCAGCUAUGCCGCGUGUAUGAAGAAGGCCUUAGGGUUGUAAAGUACUUUCAUCGGGGAGGAAAAAACAAAACUAAUAAUUUUAUUUCUUGACGUUACCCGAAAAAGAAGCACCGGCUAACUCCGUGCCAGCAGCCGCGGUAAUACGGAGGGUGCUAGCGUUAAUCAGAAUUACUGGGCGUAAAGAGCACGUAGGUGGUUUUUUAAAGUCAGAUGUGAAAUCCCUGGGCUUAACCUAGGAACUGCAUUUUGAAACUGAAAUACUAGAGUAUCGUAGAGGGAGGUAGAAUUCUAGGUGUAGCGGUGAAAUGCGUAGAUAUCUGGAGGAAUACCUGUGGCGAAAGCGGCCUCCUAAACGAAUACUGACACUGAGGGUGCGAAAGCGUGGGGAGCAAACAGGGAUUAGAUACC